GACGAACGCUGGCGGCGUGCUUAACACAUGCAAGUCGAACGGAAAGGCCCUUCUUUGGUGGGGGGCUCGAGUGGCGAACGGGUGAGUAACACAUGAGUAACCGGCCCUUGACUUUGGGAUAACUUCAGGAAACUGGGGCUAAUACCGGAUAGGAGCUCCUGCGGCAUGGGGGGGGUUGGAAAGUUUCGGCGGUUGGGGUUGGACUCGCGGCUUAUCAGCUUGUGGGUGGGGUAGUGGAUUACCAAGGCUUUGACGGGUAGCCGGACUGAGAGGGUGACAGGCCACAGUGGGCCUGAGAUAGGGGCCAGAGUGCUAUGGGGGGCAGCAGUGGGGAAUAUUGCACAAUGGGGGGAAGUCUGAUGCAGCAACGCUGCGUGUGGGAUGCAGGUCUUCGGGUUGUAAACCGCUUUGGCCUGUGACGAAGCGUGAGUGACGGUACUGGGUAAAGAAGCACCGGCUAACUACGUG
This 468-nucleotide ribosomal RNA is filed under the name uncultured bacterium. RNAcentral describes it as "partial 16S ribosomal RNA". It matches the Rfam family "Bacterial small subunit ribosomal RNA", at positions 28 to 507 of the family's 1533-position model. The record is from RNAcentral.